This 1607-nucleotide unclassified non-coding RNA is filed under the name Cimex lectularius (bed bug). RNAcentral's name for it is "uncharacterized LOC106673113, transcript variant X6". The record is from RNAcentral. Lineage: Eukaryota; Metazoa; Arthropoda; Insecta; Hemiptera; Cimicidae.
UUAAAUUAUCGUUUUCCAAAAUCUGGUUUCAAAAUUCAUAAUUUCUUCUAUUCUCUUUGGAAUUUUUCUUCUCUUCCUGAAUUUCAGUGAUUAGUAUGAGACAAAGGAACAUGGUUUAUUUGAAAAUGGCCGAAGUGUUCCUCGGGGUAGCCGUUUUUAGCUUGCACGCAGCCUCGAUUUGGUGGGGCCACCACAAGCGAAACGCGAGGGGAAGUCACGUUGCAAUAGCAACAGGGAUUUGCAGUCCGAUGGUCCCGACGCUCUUCAGAGCCGAGCCAGCUCUUUACGGUUUCAACGAUUUGCCGAAAACGAUAAUCAUAGGAUUGGCUAUAUUUGUGAUACACUACCACUCUUACUUGCCUGCAGACUGGGCAACUAACUUUUUCAUAACACUGGGCUUUUGCGGCCCUCUGUUGCCCCAGAUAUACAGGAUGGAGGGUUUGAAAUCCGACGAAAUACCUAUGGAUAAACUAUCGGACAUGUUGUUCUCUUCUUUUGCUGCAUGGGUUUACAUGGUCGGAGGAGCUUUUCAAUAUAAAUAUUUGGCAUACUAUUUGACUCUUUAUAAAACAUGCGGAUCGUUUAUGAUGGCAUUAUUUUUCUUGAUUGACCUCAUUGUAACGUGGUGCUCAGCUGCCGACGACGAGAUACUCAUACGAAAUGGCGUCUUUUUCCUGAUAGUCGCCCGUCAGGAACAAUGGAAGGUGAAAGACGUGAGGCUGCAGGAAGACAAGAUGCCCAUAACGGCACCGUCGACCAAGAUCGAACCGGAUUCACAUUACUACAGGCCGAGGUUCAUGAGGCCCUGGGGCAAGGCGUACUUCAGAGUUUGUGACGACGAAGUCGCAGAAAAGAAGCUUGAAGAUUUGCUUAGAAUGGAAAGGAAGAGAAGGGGGAAAGAAGCUUUGACUCCGCAGGAACGCCUGUUGAGGGCGAUAGAAAUGAAAAGGGAAAUAGCAAACGCCCUCCGGGAGCAACGAAUCGAAAGAGCCGGUCGUACCAUCAGUCAGAAUCUAUCCUACCGAUAAAACAUUUUUAACUUUUAUAUUCAAUUUCUUUAAUAAUACUUUUGAAUCUAAUUUUAUGCAUUCACCAUAUGGUCGGUAUAAAUAAUUUUUCAUAUAUCUGUGCAUAAACCUUUAAAAUGACUAUCCUGUCUUCGACUAAGUUUCAAGGUUGGAACAAAUUCGCAGAAAUGUUCCUCAGCGUACUCUUAGCAAUAAUGGAGUCCAAGACGUUAUUAAUCGGUCUUGUUUUCACGGAAGUGAAUCCUUAUUUUGCCUUCUUGAGAACAGCCUCGUAUUCGACCAUGAUCGUCCCGUCCAUCAUGAGGUUGCAGGCUGCCAGCUUUUCAGAGCCAAUCGUACUCGAUCACCAUGUGCAUAUGUUCAUCACGAGCGUCGGGGCGAUUUUAUACACAAUAGCCAGCAUUUUUGGACUGCUUCAUUGGUUCAAGUUCCCCGGUGUUCACAAGUAUUACAGAUGGGAGGAAAUUGCGAUAGUUUUGACUCAGCACAUAUUGGCUCUUGUUCUUGCUUUAAUGUUUAUAUGUGACACUUUUAUCGUCUGUUUCAAACACGAAGAUAAAAUAUACGUUUAAUUUCCCA